UUAUUCAUUUGUAUUUUCGCUCAGACGUCACGGAUUAAACGGGUUUGGUUGGGACUCUGGCGAGCACUCGCCGCCGAAGCUGCGGCGGGACGGACCCGCGGGCUCGCCAAAGCAACAAGGGACGGUACGCAUAGGGUUGGAGGUUCGAGGCACGCGGCCCCUAACUCUUUAAUGAUCCUUCCGCAGGUUCACCUACGGAAA
This 201-nucleotide unclassified non-coding RNA is filed under the name uncultured fungus. Its description in RNAcentral is "sequence contains ITS1". The record is from RNAcentral. Lineage: Eukaryota; Fungi.